This 87-nucleotide ribosomal RNA is filed under the name Vibrio parahaemolyticus. RNAcentral's name for it is "partial 16S ribosomal RNA". It matches the Rfam family "Bacterial small subunit ribosomal RNA", at positions 1 to 87 of the family's 1533-position model. The record is from RNAcentral. Lineage: Bacteria; Pseudomonadati; Pseudomonadota; Gammaproteobacteria; Vibrionales; Vibrionaceae.
AAAUUGAAGAGUUUGAUCAUGGCUCAGAUUGAACGCUGGCGGCAGGCCUAACACAUGCAAGUCGAGCGGAAACGAGUUAUCAGAACC